CACGUAGGGGGCAAGCGUUGUCCGGAUUUAUUGGGCGUAAAGAGCUCGUAGGUGGUUCGGUAAGUCGGGUGUUAAACCCCCAGGCUCAACCUGGGGACGCCACUCGAUACUGCUGUGACUAGAGUCCGGUAGGGGACCACGGAAUUCCUGGUGUAGCGGUGAAAUGCGCAGAUAUCAGGAGGAACACCGGUGGCGAAGGCGGUGGUCUGGGCCGGAACUGACGCUGAGGAGCGAAAGCGUGGGGAGCGAACAGG
This 254-nucleotide ribosomal RNA is filed under the name uncultured bacterium. Its description in RNAcentral is "partial 16S ribosomal RNA". It matches the Rfam family "Bacterial small subunit ribosomal RNA", at positions 524 to 776 of the family's 1533-position model. The record is from RNAcentral.